This 305-nucleotide ribosomal RNA is filed under the name uncultured bacterium. Its description in RNAcentral is "bacterial SSU rRNA". It matches the Rfam family "Bacterial small subunit ribosomal RNA", at positions 337 to 659 of the family's 1533-position model. The record is from RNAcentral.
GCCUACGGGGCGCAGCAGUGGGGAAUAUUGCACAAUGGGGGAAACCCUGAUGCAGCGAUGCCGCGUGGAGGAAGAAGGUUUUCGGAUUGUAAACUCCUUUUAUCAGGGACGAUAAUGACGGUACCUGAAGAAAAAGCUCCGGCUAACUACGUGCCAGCAGCCGCGGUAAUACGUAGGGGGCAAGCGUUAUCCGGAUUUACUGGGUGUAAAGGGAGCGUAGACGGCAGCGCAAGUCUGGAGUGAAAUCCCAUGGCUUAACCAUGGAACUGCUUUGGAAACUGUGCAGCUGGAGUGCAGGGGAGGUA